Molecule: long non-coding RNA, 1431 nt
Organism: Nicotiana tabacum (common tobacco)
Lineage: Eukaryota; Viridiplantae; Streptophyta; Magnoliopsida; Solanales; Solanaceae
Source: RefSeq, a predicted model, not a curated record
UCACACUCUUGCACAAAAGGAGUUGUGCACUCGUUUCUUGGAGAGGAAUUCACACCUUAGAAAAGAAUACAAAAAAUAAGAUAGAUCUGGAGAGAAAGAAAAAUUGAAAAAGCAAAACGAAGAAGCCUUCCCCUUUCUUCUUCACUGAAAAUAGCCGUCCCUGCCUCUCCUUCCUCAAGAGAAAUACAUGGAAGUUUCAUAUUAAACUCAAUCACAAGAUCAUGUAGCUAAUCCACCACCCAAACACCUCCAUUUUCUCCUUAAUUAGGCACCAUUGUUACCCCAUUUUUAAACCAUAAAAUACAGCCUUGAAGUACCCUGUUUCCAUCGCUUUUUCUCCAGAUCUUAACCUUUUAAACACCCCAAAAAUACAGUAACAGCAGUUGCAGAAAACCAGCAAAAAAUCAGCUCCAAAACCCAAGUAAAACCUCCAUUAAAAUAGUCCCAAAACCAGAUUCUUCCAUCACUAAAAGAGCUGCAAUUUAAGCUCCAUCUUCAGCCCAUGAACUUCAAAUUUUAACCACUAAAAACUCGGAAAAAUCAGCCCCAAAAUCUACCUCAAACCAACCCUUCCAAACCACCAAACAGUCCAGGCAUGAAUCGCCCAAAGACACCUCGAAAAGCAGGCCAAAAACGCAGCUGAAAACAGCCGCAAAUUAGCUGAAGAACCAGCUAAAAAAUAGUCCCCGAACAACCCCAAAAACCACCCCAAACCACCACCAUUUUUAGCUCCAAACUCCAGCCAAAACACCACCCAAAACAGCCCAAUAAUACCUCAAAAUAGUCCAAGGUUGAUCGAGGUUGCGAGUCCCGAUUUUUCGUUCGAGGUCCCGUUGCUGGUCCGAGGUUCCAGUCAGUACCUCAUUUGACUGUCGCUUCUUUGUAAGCAGCAAAAAGACUUGCAAAUGAGCUCAAUAGGUCUUAGUGUCAGACCAAGAAGGUACACAAGAUGUGAAUAUGUUGAUGUUUCGAGCAACAAGCAAUGAGCAAAAUCUCCAUGCAAAAUACGGACUUGCUGUAGAGAGAUCAUCAUAUGAAAGUACCCAUUUCCCAAAAGUUGUGUAUACUCAAAUUUUUGAUAUCCAUGAAGCUUACCCAAGGUGCUCACAUAAUGAUGGAACUUUUGAGGGCGAGGUACAUGCUCAUGUAUGGGAACUUCAAAUAGAAGAAGUGGACCAAGAGCCUAUGAUUCAACAACAAAACACAUAGUUAAGGGAUUAUGGAAGCUGCUAUAUGCCAUGAGCAUGCCAUCAAGGAUGAUCCAUCAUAUGGAGAAGUCACGAAUGAGUUGGAAACCGUACUUAUCUUUCGUUCAUCUACACGACUUUAUAUUCAUUGUAUAGGAUGAUUCUCAUUCUGCUUUUUAUCAUUGAUGUACAUAACCUUUUCAAUAUUGAAACAAUAAAAUGGCUUUUAUGCUUUGGUACCAAA